RNA transcript from Bemisia tabaci, 7185 nucleotides. RefSeq lists it as uncharacterized. The record is from RefSeq and is a predicted model, not a curated record. Lineage: Eukaryota; Metazoa; Arthropoda; Insecta; Hemiptera; Aleyrodidae.
AUAAAGUCGUGCUGUGAGUAAUAAUGUGUUACUGAGAAAGACUGCGUCACGUAAAUUUUUUUUAUCUUCGCAGGAAGUGGAAGGCCAUGAAUAAUGCUUUUGAGGAUAAUUGUCAUGGCCGGUCGUGCCGUGAUUAUCCAUUCCUUUUUACUUAUGUUGGCAAUGUGCAUGCAAUUUGCAAACGAACCCUAACCUAUCUCAAGCUCAACAGUUGCCAGCCCUGUGAGCAAGUUUCAAGUAGUGAACUCAACAAAAAAGGUUAUUUUGGUUUUGGAAAUGUAUUGUCUCUCAAUUUGCAACGUUUUCUUUUUCCUAAAGUAGAAGUGAUGUCCAAGUGAAUUGUGUCUAACUUCGUUUCUGUGUCGUUUUACAUUUUUUGUAAACUUCGCGGGUGGUAGAUAUUGUCAGUGCAAGACUCCCACAGUGGAAUAACAUCCCAUGGACCAACAAGAGGCCAUAUUGAAUUCUGAUUUGAACUAGGUGGAGUACUUUCUUGAUGUAAAGUAAUGAAUUAGAAAGCAGAAUCAUGGACAAAUAAGUUUUCAGAUCUUGUUCAAAAUGUUGAAUGAGUUUACUUCAACAUUCUUUCCCUCUCAAGAUCUAUUGCAACAAUGACCCGCAAUAAUCUUUCUCCGCAUCCUUGCAAGUGAUGUCAACACAGAUAUUUCUCACGUUUUGAUUUAUUGUGAGCAAGAGCCAAAAAAAUGCCGAAUCCUCCACCACCCCCACCACCGGGGCCGCCCCCUGCCCCGAUGAUGGCAUUCAACACAUCAAAGUCAAAGAGUUCUGGUGGAGUGGAGCCUCAAGCUCGGAAUGCGCUUCUUCAGUCUAUACGGCAGGGUGCAACCCUUAAGAAAACCGUCACAAAUGAUAGAAGUCAGCCACUUAUUUCCGGCAAAGCCAACGGAAAUGGAAGUGGAAGUAAUGGUUCAACUGGUAUCAACAACUCUUCUAGUACAUUGAAGAGACCUGGAGUCAGUAGCAAUUUGAAUAUUCCCAAUGGUUUGGCCGGUCUUUUUGCUGGCGGUAUGCCGAAGUUGAAACCGACUGGUCUAGCGGUGGCAGGACAAACUUCGACGCAGCACAGCAAUGAUAGUGACAACGUUGCUGCAAACCAAAGCUUGGCUCCAAAUUCAUCUUCAUUACACAGUAAUAAACAAGAUGGAACUACACGACACUUUUCGACUGAUAUCAGAAAUAGGGGACCUCCUCCUCAGCCACCACCAGUUGUCCAAAAAUCUGUUAUGCCAAAUAGUGCAUCUGACUCUGUUUUGACAAAUUCCAACAAUCACAACCGAAUGGGUAGCACAGCAAGUUUAAAUGCAGAUGUAUCUCCACGAUCUGUGACAAAUGGACCAAACAGAACGUCACAAAACAGCCACGGCAAACCAAAUGUUGCUCCAAAACCUCCAAAUACCUUAAACAAACCGACUGUUGCUCCCAAGAACAAAGUUAUUGUAAAUGGUAGACCCACUGUCUCAAGAGCUCAAAGUAUGAAAGCACCCAGAUCGCCCCCUGUUUCUUUACCGACAAGUGCUCCUCAGUAUCCUGGCACUCUAAACCCUAGUGAAAUUAAUAGGCUGAACAGUCAAAUGAACGCAGUCUCGUUUCAUCAGUCUCAAGAGACAUUAAAUCCUUCGCUCUCAAGCCGACCCAUAGCCUCGUUACCUAAUAAUUCAGGUCUUUGGAACUCAACGGGGACUUUACGGCAUCGUCCAGGGACUCCCAUCAGGCCACCAUCCACACGGCCUCCGCCGCCUCCUCCUUACAAAGUUGCAAUGACACCACCCGUGUGUCCUCCCCCUCCUCUUCCCAUUACACCACCCCCUCUACCCCCUCAUCGUACUUCCCCAGCUCCACCACCUCCAAGGACUGAUUCUUAUCAAAGUAGAUUAGUGCCGUCUGUGCCUUCUGGAGCCCCGCCCCUUCCUCCCGUACGAAAUAGUAACUCGCUGAGGAAUGGAUCCUUCUCUAGCUCUGGUGACAUGGAAUCUAGAUUUGCUGACAUGUUUCAUAGUGUACAUGAAUUCCCCCCUCCCAUGCCCUACAAAGGUGUCAUCAAACAGUAUAACAGCAGGACAGCUAAGCAGCCAGCUCCGCAACCUCCGACCCAUACAAUGAUGGCCAACAGGAUGUAGCAUGUUUGAACAAAUGAAAAUAUUUUAACUGCUCAGCAAAAGACACUUGAUAGUCUUUAUUCUCCUCGCAGUAGAUCUGUCAGCAUCAAUAUACAGUAUCCAAUAAGUAUGAAGAUUAGCGCUCAUAGACUCCUCACGGUGUUGAACCCUCUUUAGCAAUAUCAUUCCUCUCUAAAGGUGUUAAUCUCCAGCCAUAUGAUGGUUAUUUCUUUUUACGAUAGAAGAUCCAAACCUUCAUUUUCUUUCUUAACCUAGUCAUCUUUAUCUUAUUAUUUUGCUUCUCUCUCUUUUCAUUUUCAUUCUUAUUUAAGUUUUCUUUUUGUCUUAUAUCGGCUACUUUCUGUGUAUUUCUACAAUUUUUGUAUCUUAAGUUAAUUUAUGUUAAAACAUUUAAGAUGGGGUAGUUUAUCGAUUUUACCUUGCGUCUUAUUCAUUUCAUUUUAUUUAUUAAUUUCUGCUUGUCGUCUGUUUAUUUUUCUGCUUGACUUGGAAAAAAGGGAAAAAGAUUGAAAGAAUGACAAAAUGGAACACAUUUUCUUAUUUGUAACCAAGAUAACACCUAAAAUUUAAGGAAAGCAGCAUCAAAAACCAUAAACUUCUACCCAUGAAUUCGCUCCAUGGAGCCAAUGCUUCGAUAAUUUAAGAAACUGAAUAUCUCAUCCCCUCAUUUUGGCAUUCUGUCAUGUAUUUAUAACUUGUGAGGUUCAUCUGGGAAGAGAGGAUCUUCUCUAUUUUUUGGCCCCUAGUUUUUAUUAGGUCUUGCACAUGAGUUCAAAUGUGAACAGAAAAAAAAAAUUAAUUUAUAUGGGCAAAAUACACCAGACAUCAUUUUGAAGUCAUUAGUUAGUUCUUCAACUUUGCUGAAUGUUGCAGUCUAUAUUUUGUAAUCUACAUUGGAAAUUGACUUUCAAUCUCUAGGUUUUGAAACUGAAGUUCUCUCUCCUCGCUCCCUCUAAAAAUGAAGAAAUAAGUAAACAAAUUAAAGGGAAAAUUAUAUUGUUUGCAAAAUUAUAUUGACAUUGAGACGUAGAGCCAAGAAUCAUGUGGGUACAAUGAAUAAUGAUCGAUCAAUGAUUUUUGACUCAUCAGAUAUAUUCGUUGCUCUUCUGACAUGAGGACAUAUCUUGAUUUCCACAUGAGCCUUAGAGUGAAUGGAGUUAUAUAGACAACAGGGCUCAUGCAAAAAAAUCGAGGUAUGCCCUUACAUCAGUGGAGCGGCAUUAUGUUGUAGAUGUAACAGAAAUGUCUUGUCAACUGUUUGAAAGUAUCCACCUGUGAUGUAAUUCAUCAAACGAUUGUUUCUUCGAUAAAUUGCACCAAAAAUAAUUGUAUUUCAAUGAAUGAAGAUAAAUUUAUCGUCAGUUAAAAACUGAUACAUUGCUUUGAAGCAAUCAUUGUACUAUGUUCUGUUUGUGUGAUUAUGACUUAAUUUUAUUUUUUUUAUCUUGUUGAUUAUUGCUGUCAAACAUUUUAUUUUUGUAUGUUAAAGAUGAAUGUGAAUGGAUGUUAUCAUGAAACAGUCAUUUUUACAGAGCACUGAUUUUGGCGUGAAUCAUGUCUGUAUGUAUUAAUCUAGAAAAUGCAAUGGAGGGACAUACAUUUUCAACUGAAACACUAUAUCCUUUAUUCCUGUUACUUACGAGUUUUAUUGAUUUUGGCGGUCAAGAUUUAUCUUGAAUUUGCCUAAGUAAACGAAAACCUAGUGCUUGGUGACAAUAGUUGUUUUGUGAAAGUGCAUUUUCUAAUAGAGGCAAAAGAAUUUGCUUCAAAAUCCAUCUCAUCGGGUACGGUCAAUCAUUGAGGCGUUAAGUAAAACUCCAUUCAAUAGAAUACUCCAUCAUACUGUGCUCAUCCUCCCAUAAUAAUCAAAUGUACAGAGUUGAUGGGAGAAAAAGGAUACAUACCGAUUUUUUUGAGAGGAGAGGAAGUGCGUCAGGUCUAUUUUUAAUAAUAGCUAUAAAAGAUGUAGCAAGGCUCUUUCUCUUCUAUUCUCCCUCUGGAAUGAUCUGUGGAAUUAUUCUUUUGAAGGAGGCAUUUUAUUUAGGAAGCAAAAAAAUGAACCCAAUUCUGCUCAAAAACACUAGCUUUUAUGGCAAAACGUCAGUUUCUCUCGGUAAAUUUUUUUGUGUUGCUCCAAUUUUCGGUAAUUGGUGAGAUUUGCAAAUGUAGUUAAAGUUUUUCUUGAAAAUUUUUAAGCUCGUGUUGUUGAACCAUAAACAUACAGGAGAAGCAAUUGGAGCUGGAAAUAGAGCCGCACUCAUUAAGUUGGUGCCUUGCAUUGAAAAAAAAAAUCAAUACAUUGAACCCUUGUGGUUAAUGGUAUCGUAGCAAAAAGAAAACCACUUUGAAAUUUGAAAAAAUUGAAAAUGGUUACCAAGUUUUCACUUAGCUCAAGUCUGAAACGUUGUAGGUAGUCCCGGAUUUUUUAAAAUUUUGUCGUACUGUCCCAAGAUUUGCAAUUGUAAUGACCAUAAUAUAUCAGCUUAAAAUAAGUAUUAAAGACAAAAUGAUUUUUACAAUGUCUCUUCUGUCAUCUCAUUUGAUGAAUGUCUGUAAGCUCUCCCCAGUUUUAAUGAAUUUGGAAGAAUGAGCAUCUUUUAAUUACCAUUUUAAGUAAAAAUCUACCGGUAAUUUACAAAAUAGCAUUUUCUGGGCUUUGGUAGAUCAAUUUUUCCAGAACUUCCCAAAACCAAAUGCGUCAUUUUUGGGCUCCUUCUCUGAUUACAGGAAGGCACAAUGCGGCUUAGCUGCUUCAGUUCAGAUGUUUGUACUCUAUUUUCUUCUUUGUCUCAAAUUUUUCCUCCUCUUGGAGUGUAAAAUAUUGUGCCGAUUAAUAUCUGGAACUUUUUUUUUUAGAAGGGUGGUCUCUUUCUCGAAAAAUAGUCUUACAAAUUUUGAUAAUGUGAAGAGUGUGCUGGCUGGACAGUAGUGAUGUGGUAUAAAUAUUUUCGACAGCUUCUCUCUCUUUCUCUCUCUCUCUCUCUUUGAAACUAAAUGUAUAAAUGAAAUAAAGGAUUAGGGUAGAGAGCAAGCAAGCAAGCUGCUUCCUCUUCCCCUUAAAUGUCAUUUCAACAGGGUGAUUCUGAAGUCCUACACCACCCCUACAACCCUUAGCGCCCUUUCCCGUUUUUAGAGUAGUCCCUUGGAAGUGUUGGGGAUCCUUAAAAAUUGGUUCCUUUUUCCUGAGAGCUCUCACAAAAUUUCAAGUCUGCAUCUCAAUUAGAUCAGAAGUUACAGGGGCUGCUGUCGGUGGUGCAGGAAUUUUUGAUCACCCUGUAUACUGUAGGGAGCAAGCAAAGGAGAGGAUUUCACAUGAUGGUAUACGUGAUGAUAAUUCUUGUUAAGAAUAAUUAUUAAUAGCAGGGUUGCAAUAACUUCCUCAUCACGCGACCAAGUAGGUUCAAAAUUGACCCCGUUCUGAAAGAGGAAGGCUCCAAAAAUGGUCAAAACCACAAUUUUUUCAUGAGAAGCACAGCGAUUUAUACUUACAGAGCCAUGGAAAAGUAAUCACCUAGAUAUUUCUCUGGGAAAGAGAAUUUUUAAAUGGGGAAGACCAUGAACUCUCUGCAUCCAUGUGUAAUUGUACCUAAUAGUGAUGCGCAUAAUGUAUCAGUGAUAGAAAGUUUUGAAGAAUGUUCAUAAUAUGGUUAAGACUAUCAUAUAUUGACUCUCUAGACACUUUUUUGUACUAUAAUUUAGUAUUGACUCUGAUGGUAUGCAUGGGUAUGAAAAAAUGAAGCACUGGGAAUGUAAAAUCCAUUGUAGUUUGCAGUUAGAUAUCCGUGUCCUAUCAGCUUUAAUAUAUAAAUUCUAUCCAUCAAUUUCCAUUGUUCAUUUUCAUCUAUAAUUCAGAUUAUCUUUUAGAUUUCAGCGGUUCUUUUUAGACCAUCUGCAAUAACGUAUUGGUUCUUUCAUAGAAAGGAACACUGUAAUAUGGGAGAAAAUCUGUAAUACCCCUGCUUAGUCCGGAUCAACUGUUUUGUUACUGCACAAUUUAUUUUGAAUAACAGUCAAUCCUUAUAUGUACAUUUACAUAGUGAUAUGUUCUUUUGUAGUAUAUCUGCAACUUAAACAUCGAUGGCCAAAAUGCAAAACGACGUAUCUCCGUUUGGAACGUUGGAAACUUCCUAUCAUGCCUCAUUUUUUCUUUGGAAAACUAGUUAAUGUAAUUUCUUGAAAACUUUGUUGAUUUUCCUUCUUUGUCAGAAGAAUAUUUUUUGUAAAUUUCAAGCUGUAAAGUUGGCAUGUUUCUCUUUGAAAAAAUAAAAUAGCAGCAGAUAUUUUGUAACACCGCAAAUGAGAAACAUGGUUUUGCAUUUGAACACUGGAUAUCUCAGGUGGCUCCACUUUACUUAAAACCACUGAGAUUAUGAUGGUCCAGUUUUCAUCUUGGCUUUUAGUCAUAAUUUUUUCAUCUUGUGAUUAUUGACUUACUUCAAAAUUAAAUUUUCCAAGAAUCACUGUAAAAACGUCACAUAAAGUAAUGAAAAACUAAAAAAUCUCUAUCAUUGCAAAGUCACUAUUACCCACUCAUCAAUCCCUUAUGUCUAUCCUAUGAAGUUCUCAAGAAUUUAGAAUUCAUUCAAUAUAAAAUAGAAAUAGUUUCAAUCAACUAAUUGACAUAACUUCAAUAUCCCUUUAUACAUCUCAAGUUGACACUACUUCUCCAUUAUAAUUUUAAAGAUCUGAUAAAUUAGAGGCGAAGUUGCUGCAUAAAUACAUUAAAACGGAUUUUAAAUCUGACGUUGUUAUCCGUGGAAAAUUGAUGAGCAUCUGUAGUUAGCAGUAGAAUUAUCUGUAACUGUAAUUGUAAAAGCGUAGUGUUUCAAAGCUUUUCAAGUGCAGUCUUCGUAAAUGCAUUUCAUUUAUUGUUUUCUUUUCUCUCCUGAAACUUCCUAAGUUUCAGCUACCGUGACCCCCCCUCCCCCCCUCCAGUUAAAGAUAGCAAAACUCUUUCCAUUUUCUUUUAUUAUUCCUCUGUUUUUAAUUUGAUACUUAUUUGUAAUUCAAUAGAUUUCUAUCAUUAACGAAGCCAUAUACUUCCAAA